This 1482-nucleotide ribosomal RNA is filed under the name uncultured Bacteroidota bacterium. RNAcentral's name for it is "bacterial SSU rRNA". It matches the Rfam family "Bacterial small subunit ribosomal RNA". The record is from RNAcentral. Lineage: Bacteria; Pseudomonadati; Bacteroidota.
AUGAGUUAUGAUCACUCGCCCACGAUGUCGGCGAGGCUUAAUACAACCAAGUCCAGCGGGCAGCACCGGGUAGCAAUACCUAUGAGACCGGCGCACGGGUGCGUAACGGCGUAUGUAAUCUACCAUUAACCCGGGGAAUAGCCCAGAGAAAUCUGGAUUAAUGCCCCAUAGUAUUAUCGUAAGGCAUCUUUAGAUAGUUAAAGCUCCGGAGUAUUCUGAUGAACAUGCGUAUCAUUAGUUUGUUGGUGAGGUAACGGCUCACCAAGACUACGAUGACUAGCCGUCUGAGAGGAUCAUCUCCCACGCUGGUACUGAGACACGGACCAGACUCAAACGGGAGGCAGCAGUAAGGAAUAUUGGUCAAUGGACGCAAGUCUGAACCAGGCAUGCCGCGUGCAGGAAGACGGCCUUAUGGGUUGUAAACUGCUUGUCAGGGAAUAAACCCCACGAUGCGUCGUGGGCUGAAGGUACCUGAAGAAUAAGCACCGGCUAACUCCGUGCCAGCAGAUGCGGUAAUACGGAGGGUGCAAGCGUUAUCCGGAUUCAUUGGGUUUAAUAGGGUGCGCAGGCGGGUUUGUCAGUCAGUGGUGAAAUCCUACGGCUUAAGACUCACUGCCAUUGAUACUGCAAGUCUUGAGUAUAGUUGAAGUGGCUGCGGAAUGUAGCAUGUAGCGGUGAAAUGCAUAGAUAUGCUACAGAACACCAAUUGCGAAGGCAGCUCACUAAGUUAUAACUGACGCUCAUGCACAGAAAGCGUGGCCGGAUCAAACAGGAUUAGAUACCCUGGUAGUCCACGCUGUAAACGAUGAUCACUCGUUGUUGGCGAUUAACACAGUCAGCGACCAAGCGAAAGUGAUAACAGUGAUCCACCUGGGGAGUACGAUCGCAAGGUUCAAACUCAAAGGUAUUGACGCGCGCACAAGCGGUGGAGCAUGUGGUUAUUCGAUGAUACGUGAGGAAUCCCUUACCUGGACUCAAACGUAGUAUGACAGUCGCGGUAACGUGAUCUAGGACGGCCAUAUUAACGAGGUGCUGCCAUGGUUGUCGUCAGCUCGUGCCGUGAGGUGUCGGUGUUAAGUCCCAUAACGAGCGCAACUAAUCUUUAGUUGCCAUCAGGUCAAGCUGGGGACUCUAGAGAAACUGCCUACGCAAGUAGUGAGUGGGGAUGACGUCAAAUCAGCACGGCCCUUACGUCCAGGGCUACACACGUGCUACAAUGGCCAGUACAAAGGGCAGCUACUGGGUGACCAGAUGCUAAUCUCUAAAGCCGGUCUCAGUUCGGAUCGAAGUCUGCAACCCGACUUCGUGAAGCUGGAAUCGCUAGUAAUCGCGCAUCAGCCAUGGCGCACUAAUACGUUCCCGGUCCUUGAACACACCGACCGUCAAGCCAUGGCAGCUGGGGGUACCUGAAGUCGGUGACCGUAAUAGGAACUGCCUAGGGUAAACUUGGUAAAUGGGGCUAAGUCGUAACAAGGUAACACG